This is a long non-coding RNA of Ananas comosus (pineapple), 269 nucleotides long. RefSeq lists it as uncharacterized. NCBI's taxonomy places the organism in Eukaryota, Viridiplantae, Streptophyta, Magnoliopsida, Poales, Bromeliaceae. The transcript is spliced from 3 exons. The record is from RefSeq and is a predicted model, not a curated record.
UGCGGAUUCCAAUAGAUAUUUCACGGCUUAUAGCUAAUGAAGCUCCUAAUUUUUAACAGUCUCCAAUUCGACUCGAAGGAAUAAAUAAACAAUGUUCAGGGCCUGUUUCAAAAUCGCCUAUAAGUUGACGGGGGCUCUCCACAUCUGUUCGUUAUUCGGCUUGCUCUGUUGGUGGUUUGCUCCUGCUAGUGGGUCUCUCUGUACUCUCCUGGAUUGAUCAAGAUGACGGGCGGCACAGUUUCGGACAUUCCGGAGGAUUCAUAUGCCCC